UUUGAAAGCUUUAUGUUUAAAUGUAAAUUAAAUAUAAAAAAAUUGAAUACAGAUUCAUAUUCAAAAGCUCAGAAUUGAUGAAAAUUGUUAAAAUUGUAAAAGGUCAAAAUGUUGAUUUUUGACAUUAAAAAAUCAAACUUUGACGGAUUUUAUAUUCAAAUGUGAUUUGAACUUUGGAAAAAUGAAUGUGAUUCAUGCUCGGGAGGUUGAAAUUAGUCAAGACAGACAAAAUGGUAAAAAGUCAAAAUGUUGACUUUUAACUUAAAAAAGACAAAGUUUACUUUGAUUUAAAAGAUGAAAAAGGACCAUAUUGCCCUUGAACUAAGUUAGCGGAAAAAUUACAUUAACACUUAGUGGGAUAGAGGACUACAUGAGAUGUAAACACUUAUGUCACGUGGUUAGAAUCUGAAGCUAACCAACCGUGCGGCACUUGGCUUGACUAUGUCGUCCCCGUUAGCCAAGUAAGCCUUAACAAGAGGUUAGUGCACCAAGCACUAUGAAUAACCUCAAUAAUAUGCAGCGGAAGAUGAUUAGUGCACCUAAGGCACUUAGAAAUCACAAUGGGUUGGCAAGAGAGUGAGUGAGAAGUUGAGAGAGCUUAAGAGAACACUUUCUCUUAUUGGUUUCCUUCUUCUUCUUGGUUUACAAAUGAGAGCCCUUACAAGUAUUUAUAACCUUGCCAAACCGACCUAGGGCCUCAUAAGGUCGGCCAAGGAAUAUUCUAGAUGAUGCAAGAGGGUUUAGUACAUUACAAGGAAGCCUAGAACUAAACCCUCUUGUAUCAUCUAGAAUAUUCUAGAGAGGACUAGACCUUUCAUGACACUUCCAGACCGUCAUUGUAGCCUUCUAGCACGUUCUAGCUUUGUCCAGCACGUUCCAGCAUGUUCCAGGGCCUUCUCGGGUGUGUCCAGACCAUUCUGGUGCAUUCUGGCACUGUCUCGGGUGUUCUAGAAGCUUCUGGGGCUGUCUAGACCGAGCAUGGGCGGAGCAGCACGCACAGGGGCGUGUCUGGGGCCUUCUGGAAGCAUCU
This 1030-nucleotide long non-coding RNA is filed under the name Cucumis sativus (cucumber). Its description in RNAcentral is "long non-coding RNA (CSAT_LNC000302)". The record is from RNAcentral. Lineage: Eukaryota; Viridiplantae; Streptophyta; Magnoliopsida; Cucurbitales; Cucurbitaceae.